CGCACAUUGCGCCCCUUGGUAUUCCAUGGGGCAUGCCUGUUCGAGCGUCAUUUGUACCUUCAAGCCUUGCUUGGUGUUGGGCGUUUGUCUGCGUCUAGUCAUGCAGACUCGCCUUGAAUCAAUUGGCAGCCGGUCGUCUGGUAGUAGAGCGCAGCACAUUUUGCGAUCUCUGCCCGUAAGUCGGCAACCAUCAAGUCUACCAUUUUCAACGUUUGACCUCGGAUCAGGUAGGGAUACCCGCUGAACUUAA
Molecule: unclassified non-coding RNA, 250 nt
Filed under: fungal sp.
Lineage: Eukaryota; Fungi
Description: partial contains 5.8S ribosomal RNA, internal transcribed spacer 2, and large subunit ribosomal RNA
Source: RNAcentral